Long non-coding RNA from Bombus pascuorum, 324 nucleotides. RefSeq lists it as uncharacterized. The transcript is spliced from 2 exons. The record is from RefSeq and is a predicted model, not a curated record. NCBI's taxonomy places the organism in Eukaryota, Metazoa, Arthropoda, Insecta, Hymenoptera, Apidae.
CUUUACUGUCGUCGCUGUUCUCUUCUUUCCGUAUAGGAUAUCCGAAACUGGUUCGCGAGUACGAAUGCACCACUGCAAAAGAUCGAUCGAUAAAUCUAAUAUUAAAUCUUCACAUAUCGCUGGAGACAGAUUACAUCAGCGCGGAUGUGAAUUCCAUAGGUUAUAUACGAUUAUAGUACAAGAGUAUUUUCAUUCAUCUAAAUAUUACACAAGGAUUGAUAUGGAGAUUUUAGAAACUUUCGUUUAUAAAGAGAUAUUUGUUAAAUUUUUUUUAAAUAUGUUCAGUGCGAUAGGAUUGAUUCCAAUCUUUGCUUUAACGAAAAA